Mercenaria mercenaria is the source of this 307-nucleotide long non-coding RNA. RefSeq lists it as uncharacterized. The record is from RefSeq and is a predicted model, not a curated record. NCBI's taxonomy places the organism in Eukaryota, Metazoa, Mollusca, Bivalvia, Venerida, Veneridae. The transcript is spliced from 3 exons.
AUAAGCCAAUAAACAGGAAUAUCAAUUACCAAACUUUAAUGCAAACUGCAUGCACAAUUGUUCAGGCUACAAAAUGGAGCAGACUUAAACAGGCUUUAAAUGUAUGCAGGUCAAUGGAUAAAUCAUGCAGUCUGUGGAUUCAACGAAGACUUUAUUUUUCUGCGCAUUUCUUGUGCUGGCCAUUGUUGUCGUUGAAGUAAAUGCAUUCGGUUUUUGUUUCGAGGACAGUGAUUGUACAACAAACAACACGUUCUGCGAUGGUGAUGUAUGUAUGUGCAUAGCUGGUCACACACUUUUGAAUGGAGUA